UACGUAGGGGGCAAGCGUUGUCCGGAUUUAUUGGGCGUAAAGAGCGUGUAGGCGGCCAAACAGGUCCACGGUGAAAACUCGAGGCUCAACCUCGAGAGGUCGGUGGAAACCGUAUGGCUAGAGGCCGGAAGAGGAGAGUGGAAUUCCCGGUGUAGCGGUGAAAUGCGCAGAUAUCGGGAAGAACACCCGUGGCGAAGGCGGCUCUCUGGGACGGUACUGACGCUGAGACGCGAAAGCGUGGGGAGCGAACAGG
This 253-nucleotide ribosomal RNA is filed under the name uncultured bacterium. RNAcentral describes it as "partial 16S ribosomal RNA". It matches the Rfam family "Bacterial small subunit ribosomal RNA", at positions 524 to 776 of the family's 1533-position model. The record is from RNAcentral.